Molecule: ribosomal RNA, 681 nt
Filed under: uncultured bacterium
Lineage: Bacteria
Description: bacterial SSU rRNA
Rfam family: Bacterial small subunit ribosomal RNA
Source: RNAcentral
CGAGCGAGGGCUUCGGCCCUAGCGGCAAACGGCGGAGUAAUACAUAAGCAACGUGCCUCGAAGACCGGGAUAGCGGACCGAAAGGUCCAGUAAUACCGGAUGUGGCUCUCGGGAGGGCGCUCCCGGGAAUUAAAUCGAGCAAUCGGCUUCGAGAGCGGCUUGUGACCUAUCAGCUAGUUGGUGAGGUAACGGCCCACCAAGGCGACGACGGGUAGGGGGUCUGAGAGGAUGAUCCCCCCGAGUGGGACUGAGACACGGCCCACACACCUACGGGUGGCAGCAGUUGGGAAUCUUGCACAAUGGGGGAAUCCCUGAUGCAGCGACGCCGCGUGGAGGACGAAGGAUCUAGGUCUGUAAACUCCUUUUGCACGGAAAGACUUAGGACGGUACCGUGCGAAUAAGCCCCGGCUAACUACGUGCCAGCAGCCGCGGUAAGACGUAGGGGGCGAACGUUGUCCGGAUUUACUGGGCGUAAAGAGCGCGUAGGCGGUCUGUUAAGUGAGAAGUGAAAUCUCCAGGGCUCAACCCGGAAACUGCUUUUCAUACUGGCAGACUAGAGGAUUGCAGAGGUGACUGGAAUUCCUGGUGGAGCGGUGAAAUGCAUAGAUAUCAGGAGGAACUCCAAUGGCGAAGGCAGGUCACUGGGCAAUAUCUGACGCUGAGGCGCGAAAGCGUGGGUAG